Small nucleolar RNA from Erinaceus europaeus (western European hedgehog), 131 nucleotides. Its record names the gene SNORA70. It matches the Rfam family "Small nucleolar RNA SNORA70". Rfam says of the family: snoRNA U70 seems to be exclusive to mammals and is a member of the H/ACA class of snoRNA which contain H (ANANNA) and ACA box motifs. The record is from Ensembl. NCBI's taxonomy places the organism in Eukaryota, Metazoa, Chordata, Mammalia, Eulipotyphla, Erinaceidae.
UUGCAGCCAAGUAAGCCAACAACACUCUCAUCCCCAUGGGGACUGGUGUGCAAUGGCAGCAAACAGCAGCCUUCUUGGUAGUGCAGCACCCUGUUUCUUGUACAAGGCAAUGGCACACCCAGUAAAGAGCA